AGCAGUGGGGAAUAUUGGACAAUGGGCGAAAGCCUGAUCCAGCCAUGCCGCGUGUGUGAAGAAGGUCUUCGGAUUGUAAAGCACUUUAAGUUGGGAGGAAGGGCAUUAACCUAAUACGUUAGUGUUUUGACGUUACCGACAGAAUAAGCACCGGCUAACUCUGUGCCAGCAGCCGCGGUAAUACAGAGGGUGCAAGCGUUAAUCGGAAUUACUGGGCGUAAAGCGCGCGUAGGUGGUUUGUUAAGUUGGAUGUGAAAUCCCCGGGCUCAACCUGGGAACUGCAUUCAAAACUGACUGACUAGAGUAUGGUAGAGGGUGGUGGAAUUUCCUGUGUAGCGGUGAAAUGCGUAGAUAUAGGAAGGAACACCAGUGGCGAAGGCGACCACCUGGACUGAUACUGACACUGAGG
Molecule: ribosomal RNA, 409 nt
Filed under: uncultured bacterium
Lineage: Bacteria
Description: bacterial SSU rRNA
Rfam family: Bacterial small subunit ribosomal RNA
Source: RNAcentral